GACAGAGGAUGCAAGCGUUAUCCGGAAUUACUGGGCGUAAAGCGUGCGCAGGCGGUUCGCUGUGUCCGAUGUGAAAGCCCCAGGCUUAACUUGGGAAUGGCAUUGGAAACUGGCGGGCUUGAGUGCGGCAGAGGGGGGUGGAAUUCCGCGUGUAGCAGUGAAAUGCGUAGAGAUGCGGAGGAACACCGAUGGCGAAGGCAGCCCCCUGGGUCGACACUGACGCUCAGGCACGAAAGCGUGGGGAGCAAACAGG
This 253-nucleotide ribosomal RNA is filed under the name uncultured bacterium. Its description in RNAcentral is "partial 16S ribosomal RNA". It matches the Rfam family "Bacterial small subunit ribosomal RNA", at positions 524 to 776 of the family's 1533-position model. The record is from RNAcentral.